GAUGAAGAACGCAGCGAAAUGCGAUAAGUAAUGUGAAUUGCAGAAUUCAGUGAAUCAUCGAAUCUUUGAACGCACAUUGCGCCCGCCAGUAUUCUGGCGGGCAUGCCUGUUCGAGCGUCAUUUCAACCAUCAAGCCCCAGGCUUGUGUUGGGGACCUGCGGCUGCCGCAGGCCCUGAAAACCAGUGGCGGGCUCGCUGUCACACCGGGCGUAGUAGAUUUUAUCUCGCUCAGGGCGUGCUGCGGGUUCCGGCCGUUAAAAAGCCUUUUUUACCCAAGGUUGACCUCGGAUCAGGUAGGAAGACCCGCUGACUUAAGCAUAUCAAUAAGCGGAGGA
This 335-nucleotide unclassified non-coding RNA is filed under the name soil metagenome. Its description in RNAcentral is "partial contains 5.8S ribosomal RNA, internal transcribed spacer 2, and large subunit ribosomal RNA". The stretch from base 1 to 120 matches the Rfam family "5.8S ribosomal RNA", at positions 35 to 154 of the family's 154-position model. The record is from RNAcentral.